This 301-nucleotide ribosomal RNA is filed under the name uncultured bacterium. Its description in RNAcentral is "partial 16S ribosomal RNA". It matches the Rfam family "Bacterial small subunit ribosomal RNA", at positions 509 to 807 of the family's 1533-position model. The record is from RNAcentral.
CAGUAGCCGCGGGAAUACGUAGGGUGCGAGCGUUAAUCGGAAUUACUGGGCGUAAAGCGUGCGCAGGCGGUUUUGUAAGACAGGCGUGAAAUCCCCGGGCUCAACCUGGGAAUGGCGCUUGUGACUGCAAAGCUAGAGUGCGGCAGAGGGGGAUGGAAUUCCGCGUGUAGCAGUGAAAUGCGUAGAUAUGCGGAGGAACACCGAUGGCGAAGGCAACCCCCUGGGCCUGCACUGACGCUCAUGCACGAAAGCGUGGGGAGCAAACAGGAUUAGAUACCCCCGUAGUCCCUGUCUCUUAUAC